AGCGAACGCUGGCGGCAGGCUUAACACAUGCAAGUCGAACGGGCACUUCGGUGUCAGUGGCAGACGGGUGAGUAACGCGUGGGAACAUACCUCUUGGUUCGGAACAACACAGGGAAACUUGUGCUAAUACCGGAUAAGCCCUUACGGGGAAAGAUUUAUCGCCGAGAGAUUGGCCCGCGUCUGAUUAGCUAGUUGGUGUGGUAAAAGCGCACCAAGGCGACGAUCAGUAGCUGGCUGAGAGGAUGAUCAGCCACAUUGGGACUGAGACACGGCCCAAACUCCUACGGGAGGCAGCAGUGGGGAAUAUUGGACAAUGGGCGCAAGCCUGAUCCAGCCAUGCCGCGUGAGUGAUGAAGGCCCUAGGGUUGUAAAGCUCUUUUGUACGGGAAGAUAAUGACGGUACCGUAAGAAUAAGCCCCGGCUAACUUCGUGCCAGCCGCCGCAGU
This 446-nucleotide ribosomal RNA is filed under the name uncultured bacterium. Its description in RNAcentral is "bacterial SSU rRNA". It matches the Rfam family "Bacterial small subunit ribosomal RNA", at positions 29 to 521 of the family's 1533-position model. The record is from RNAcentral.